UACUCCUACGGGAGGCAGCAGUGGGGAAUUUUGCGCAAUGGGCGAAAGCCUGACGCAGCAACGCUGCGUGAGUGAUGAAGGCCCUCGGGUCGUAAAGCUCUGUCAGAGGGGAAGAAACUUUUGAGGGAGAAUAUCCCUUGAAACUGACGGUACCCUCAAAGGAAGCACCGGCUAACUCCGUGCCAGCAGCCGCGGUAAUA
RNAcentral lists this ribosomal RNA (200 nucleotides) under uncultured Desulfuromonas sp. RNAcentral describes it as "partial 16S ribosomal RNA". It matches the Rfam family "Bacterial small subunit ribosomal RNA", at positions 334 to 525 of the family's 1533-position model. The record is from RNAcentral. Lineage: Bacteria; Pseudomonadati; Thermodesulfobacteriota; Desulfuromonadia; Desulfuromonadales; Desulfuromonadaceae.